Molecule: long non-coding RNA, 1161 nt
Filed under: Equus caballus (horse)
Lineage: Eukaryota; Metazoa; Chordata; Mammalia; Perissodactyla; Equidae
Description: lncRNA (ENSECAG00000040453.2)
Source: RNAcentral
CAAAUAUUUUGUGAGGUUUCAGCCAGGAGAAACAGUAAACAUUCCUGGCUGUAUUAAACAACCCCACGGACAUAGGAGGGUUCCCCAUAAAAGACCCAAAAGAUACUGCCCUCCCAAGAUCCAGAGCGACUCCCACAGACAGCCAAAAGAAAGACAGAUUUAGACAGUUUCCCUGAGAGCUGGCAACAGUUUGUAGGAUCCUAGCUGCAAAUGGGGUACAGCCCACAUUUCUGUCCAGCCAUAUUUUGGGGGCCGCAACCUGUUGGUUGCCAAGCCAAAUUCUUAGGACACAAAAUGAGACCAACAAGAAGGCAAUAGCUAUCCCUGGGAGAGGAAGGAUCAGUAACCAGUGUUUUUUCCUGCCAAUCUGAAUUUGGAAAGGAACGGAUAACAUGAAAUUUUACCUUCCACUCUCCACAGGCACCACAGAUAGAGAUCUGAGAGAGAUGACUUUGACUGUACCCCACAAAGACAACUUAGUCUGGUUUCUGCCCCUCACAAGGCAUCCAGGAUUCAGAGAAAAAAGUCUCCUAUGUACUGUUGGUUCAGGAGAAAUGAGCAAGUGGAGGAAGAUGCAAGCCGUAAUGAUGUUUCCUUAUUCUUUCACUCAAAAACAUUUAAUAAGCCUUUAUUAUGUUCACGGAAUUGUACCAAAAGUAUGCUGAUAAAUAUCUAGAGUGAUUCCAGAUCGUGUCCUUAGAUUCUCCACCCUCAAGGAGGAGGAAUUAACUCCCACUCCUUAGGUGUGGGCUGCAUACAGUGACUUCCUUCUAGAGAGGACACUGUGGAAAGAGAAGAGGAGACAGUAACUCUACAGGGGAGAAACCUGAUAAACGCGACUGCAGCAAGGCGGUCAAGGUCAACAUCAACAGUGAUAAGUCAUGGUGACACCCUUGAUAUGAUGUGAUGAGAACAAGACUUUAUCUCUGUGGUCAUUUUCCCAAAUGCUCACAGCCACAGACUAAUCAUGAGAACAAUAUCAGAGAAAUCUCAAUUGAGGGACAUUCUACAAAAUACCUGAUCAGCGCCCCUCAGAACAGUCAAGGUCAUCAAAAACAAGGAAAGCCUAAGAAACUGUCGCAGUCUGGACGACCUAAGGAGACAUGAAGACUAAAUGUACUGUGGUGUCCUGGAUGGGAUCACAAGAUAGAAAGGAAAUAG